ACUCCCAGUCCACAUUCCCACAGUACUACACUACUACACUUACACAGUACCACACUCCCACACUCCUACAAUACCACAGUACGACACUCCCACAGUACUACACCCCCACAGUACCACACUCCUACAGUACCACACUCCUACAGUACCACACUCCUACAGUACCACACUCCCACAAUACCACACUCCCACAAUACCACACUCUCACAGUCCCACACUCCCACAAUACCACACUCUCACAGUCCCACACUCCCACAAUACCACACUCUCACAGUCCCACACUCCCACAAUACCACACUCUCACAGUCCCACACUCCCACAAUACCACACUCUCACAGUCCCACACUCCCACAGUCCCACACUCUCACAGUCCCACACUCCCACAGUACCAAUGUCGCCUUCAGAUGUACAUUUCGUGUACAACAAAACAUGGCAGCUGUAUAUUAAAUACAAUGUUACAUGUUCACCAGGACAGCAUGUUUUAAAACUAUUUUGUAGCUCCUCAUUGUUGGUCAGCAAUGCUUAUGGUAUUAUCGGCGCUAACUUUCAUUUGUACAAAACGUCCUUAAAAACUGGCACCUAAUGCCAUAUCUUGAGGCCUUCGAAUCCACUAGUUCCGAUCUGGAUAUGUUUUUUUUUUCCGUCAUGACACAUGACUCAAUGUGCGCCACUUUGUAGCUAUUACAUGUCCACUAACUGGGAACUCUUCUGUAUUGUUAGAUAUAAUUCUAAUAAGGUAAAACGAACCGCGUGGUAACAUAAACAUAGUAGUAACCAGCUUGAUUCAAAAGAGAUCUAUCUAUCAGCAUCGUGAUAGGGCUGUUCUUACGUCCAGAACCAAUCAAAUGAUAAACCAUGAGUCUCCACUUUUGUUGUGACAUCCUCAAAGGAAAAGGUAAGUUAAUCGAGCCCUUGGAUCUGGAAGAUGGAAUGAAUCAUAACUAGGGGAUUAUCAUGGUAGUCAAGGUCUGUUUGACGUACUGUCCCAGAAAAGCAUGUGAAACGCAUAUGCGCAGUGUUUACGAUAUAUGCCCCUGUCGAGUCGUCGGUUUUGUUGCUCAUGAAUCACAAGUCAUGCUACGCAUUGUAAAUUGUAUGUUUUUUAAUUCCUGUCGUGUCUACAAGCUUGCUGAUCGUACAGUUUCGUGUAGCUACAGUAUAAACAGUAAAUGAAGGACAGCUCUACUCAAGAUUUCCAUGUCUAUACCAAACUGUAAGGUUUCCUUGGUUACCCAAACUGUAAGGUUUCCUUGGUUACCCAAACUGUAAGGUUUCCUUGGUUACCCAAACUGUAAGGUUUCCAUGUCUACCCAAACUGUAAGGUUUCUAUGUCUACCCAAACUGUAAGGUUUCCAUGGUUACCCAAACUUUAAGGUUUCUAUGUCUACCCAAACUGUAAGGUUCCCAGGGUUACCCAAACUGUAAGGUUUCCAUGGUUACCCAAACUGUAGGGUUUCCAUGUCUACCCAAACUGUAAGGUUUCCAUGUCUACCCAAACUGUAAAGUUUCGAUGUCUACCCAAACUGUUGGGUUUCCAUGUCUACCCAAACUGUAGGGUUUCCAUGUCUACCCAAACUGUUAGGUUUCCAUGUCUAUACCCAAACUGUAAGGUUUCCAUGUCUACCCAAACUGUAGGGUUUCCAUGUCUACCCAAACCAAACUUUAAGGUUCCCAUGUCUACCCAAACUGUAAGGUUUCCAUGUCUAUACCCAAACUGUAAGGUUUCCAUGUCUACCCAAACUGUAAGGUUUCCAUGUCUACCCAAACUGUAAGGUUUCCUUGGUUACCCAAACUGUAAGGUUUCCUUGGUUACCCAAACUGUAAGGUUUCCUUGGUUACCCAAACUGUAAGGUUUCCAUGUCUACCCAAACUGUAAGGUUUCCAUGUCUACCCAAACUGUAAGGUUUCCAUGUCUACCCAAGCUGUAAGGUUUCCAUGUCUACCCAAACUGUAAGGUUUCCUUGGUUACCCAAACUGUAGGGUAUCCAUGUCUACCCAAACUGUAAGGUUUCCAUGUCUACCCAAACUGUAAGGUUCCCAUGUCUACCCAAACUGUAAGGUUUCCAUGUCUACCCAAACUGUAAGGUUUCCUUGGUUACCCAAACUGUAAGGUUUCCAUGUCUACCCAAACUGUAGGGUUUCCAUGUCUAUCCAAACUGUAAGGUUUCCAUGUUUACCCAAACUGUAAGGUUUCCAUGUCUACCCAAACUGUAAGGUUUCCAUGUCUACCCAAACUGUAAGGUUUCCAUGUCUACCCAAACUGUAAGGUUUCCUUGGUUACCCAAACUGUAAGGUUUCCAUUGAAAACGAUAUAAAAACAAGUUAUUGUUCUUAUACCAGAUAUUUUAAAAAUCGUUGUAAAACCGUGUACUGUUCAUUGCAUAAAUGAAUUAUUUAUUUGUAUUUUAAGAUUAUUUAACAUAUUACUUGUGUAGCGGAGUUAUAUAUUCAUUCUGUCCAGUAAUCAUAACUUAAUUCAUUGAGACAAAGUUUCAUAUAUAGCCAGACGCUCACGUCGUUUUUAAUAAAAAUGUUCAAACUUC
Molecule: long non-coding RNA, 2540 nt
Organism: Pecten maximus
Lineage: Eukaryota; Metazoa; Mollusca; Bivalvia; Pectinida; Pectinidae
Exons: 3
Source: RefSeq, a predicted model, not a curated record